UACGUAGGGUGCGAGCGUUGUCCGGAAUUAUUGGGCGUAAAGAGCUCGUAGGCGGCCUGUUGCGUCCGCUGUGAAAACUCGAGGCUCAACCUCGAGACGCCGAUGGAAACCAUCAGACUAGAGUCCGGAAGAGGAGAGUGGAAUUCCUGGUGUAGCGGUGAAAUGCGCAGAUAUCGGGAGGAACACCGGUGGCGAAGGCGGUUCUCUGGGCAUUACCUGGACGCUGAGGAGCGAAAGUGUGGGGGAGCGAACAGG
Molecule: ribosomal RNA, 255 nt
Filed under: uncultured bacterium
Lineage: Bacteria
Description: partial 16S ribosomal RNA
Rfam family: Bacterial small subunit ribosomal RNA
Source: RNAcentral